This 466-nucleotide ribosomal RNA is filed under the name uncultured bacterium. RNAcentral describes it as "partial 16S ribosomal RNA". It matches the Rfam family "Bacterial small subunit ribosomal RNA", at positions 329 to 792 of the family's 1533-position model. The record is from RNAcentral.
CGCCAGACUCCUACGGGAGGCAGCAGUGAGGAAUAUUGGUCAAUGGCCGGAAGGCUGAACCAGCCAAGCCGCGUGAGGGAGGAAGGCGCAGAGCGUCGCAGACCUCUUUUGCCGGGGGACAAAAGGCCGGACUCGUCCGGUCCUGAGGGUACCCGGAGAAAAAGCAUCGGCUAACUCCGUGCCAGCAGCCGCGGUAAUACGUAGGGGGCGAGCGUUAUCCGGAUUCACUGGGUGUAAAGGGGGCGCAGACGGCAGCGCAAGCCAGGAGUGAAAGCCCGGGGCCCAACCCCGGGACUGCUCUUGGAACUGCGCGGCUGGAGUGCAGGAGGGGCAGGCGGAAUUCCUGGUGUAGCGGUGAAAUGCGUAGAUAUCAGGAGGAACACCGGUGGCGAAGGCGGCCUGCUGGACUGCGACUGACGUUGAGGCCCGAAAGCGUGGGCAGCAAACAGGAUUAGAUCCCCGGGUA